This 298-nucleotide RNase P RNA is filed under the name Candidatus Cryptobacteroides faecigallinarum. Its description in RNAcentral is "Bacterial RNase P class A". It matches the Rfam family "Bacterial RNase P class A". From Rfam's summary of the family: Ribonuclease P (RNase P) is a ubiquitous endoribonuclease, found in archaea, bacteria and eukarya as well as chloroplasts and mitochondria. Lineage: Bacteria; Pseudomonadati; Bacteroidota; Bacteroidia; Bacteroidales. The record is from RNAcentral.
CUGUCGCUUCCGGCAAGGAAGAGGAAAGUCCGGACAGGAAAGGGCAUCCCGCUGCGGAAAUCGCAGAAGGGAGUAAUCUUUUGGAAUCCGUAACAGAAAACAACCGCCUUCAUUGAAGGCAAGGGUGAAAAUGUGGGGCAAGAGCCCACGGCUUGUGCCGGUGACGGCAUGAGGGUACGGACCCGGGACCUGCAAGACCAAAUAUACUGGCAGAUGAGGGCUGCCCGUCCGAUGCCAGGGGGUAGGUUGCGAAGAUAAAUGACAGGAUAAAACAGAAACCGGCUUACGGUCCCACCUU